This is a small nucleolar RNA of Triplophysa rosa, 88 nucleotides long. Lineage: Eukaryota; Metazoa; Chordata; Actinopteri; Cypriniformes; Nemacheilidae. The record is from RefSeq and is a predicted model, not a curated record.
ACACUUUUGUGAUGAUUUAGCACUGGGCUCUGAACAUAUGUAGACAACGUGCAUUUCUGCUCUUGACAUGGCAGAAUCUGAAAAGUGU